RNAcentral lists this small RNA (220 nucleotides) under Arabidopsis thaliana (thale cress). Its description in RNAcentral is "ATSL133410". Lineage: Eukaryota; Viridiplantae; Streptophyta; Magnoliopsida; Brassicales; Brassicaceae. The record is from RNAcentral.
ACAUAUGUUCUGUUACAGCCCAAAACAUGAGGCAUUCAUGUUGGGAACACCAAAAAACAAAGGGAACAACAAGGAUUUUGAGCUUCUGAUCACAACGGCCCCAAUCCCGGAUCUGAAUGAUCAACUUAUAGUGUUUGGAAGAGUCCUUAAGGGAGAGGAUGUAGUACAGGUUUGAUCCAACUAAGCACAGUCUAUCAGCUUGAAUGGUUUGUUUAAUAGU